UUUAGGGUAAACAACAUGAAAGCAUGGAUCCAUCCUGCCUUGUAUCAAUUGUUUAGGGUAGUGGUGGUAGUGUAAUGGUGUUGGAGAUAUUUUCUUGGCACAUUUUGGGCCCCUUAGUACAAAUUGAGAAUUGUUUAAAUGCCACAGUCUACCUGAGUAUUGUUGCUGACCAUGUCCAUCCCUUUAUUACUACAGUGUACCCAUCUUCUGAUGACUACUUCUAGACAGGAUAAUACACCAUCUUAAAUCAUCUCAAACUGAUUUCUUGAACAUGACAAUGAGUUCACUGUACUCCAAUGGUCUCCACAGCCAUCAGAUCUCAAUCCAAUAGAGCACCUUUAGGAUGUGGUGGAACAGGAGAUGCGCAUCAUGGAUGUGCAGCCGACAAAUCUGCAGCAACUUUGUGAUGCUAUUAUGUAAAUAUGGACCAAAAUGUCUGAGGAAUGUUUCCAACACCUUGUUGAAUCUAUGCCACAAAGAAUUAAGGCAGCUCUAAAGGCAAAAGGUGGUCCAACCCUGUACUAGCAAGGUGUACCUAAUAAAGUGGCCGAUGUAAUCCACAUCGCUCCUGUCAAUGAAAAACUCCACCGAGGAGGACCACCAGAGCCACCGGCUCCAUGGAGUACCCACCGUAGCUGCCGGCUCCAUGGAGGAUCUAGUGCCGCCACCAAGGAAGACCACUGGACAUGCCGCCGCCAUGGAGGAGUUGUUGCCGUAGAGCCAUCACCCUAAUUCUCAGGAAGACUUUGGAUGUGGGCGGACUUUUGCUGAAGUUUUGAUCCUUAUUAUUUCCUAUGGGAGACGCAUCUCCACUCUUCGGAACAGAGAGGUUCAGACCUUGUGGGUCUGACAAUGCAUUGAUAACCAGG
Long non-coding RNA from Bombina bombina (fire-bellied toad), 869 nucleotides. RefSeq lists it as uncharacterized. Lineage: Eukaryota; Metazoa; Chordata; Amphibia; Anura; Bombinatoridae. The transcript has 3 exons. The record is from RefSeq and is a predicted model, not a curated record.